RNAcentral lists this ribosomal RNA (467 nucleotides) under uncultured bacterium. Its description in RNAcentral is "partial 16S ribosomal RNA". It matches the Rfam family "Bacterial small subunit ribosomal RNA", at positions 28 to 507 of the family's 1533-position model. The record is from RNAcentral.
GAUGAACGCUGGCGGCGCGCCUAACACAUGCAAGUCGAACGAUUACAGCACCUUCGGUUGUGUAUAGAUUGGCGAACGGCUGAGUAACACGUGUGCAACCUGCCCCUUUCAUUGGGAUAGCCACUGGAAACCGUUGAUAAUACCGAAUACUUCGAUACUUCCGCUUGGAAGACUCGAGAAAGCACAGGCUGAGUGGUAUGGGACCGCGGUCUGUUAGCUUGUUGGUGGGGUAACUGCCUACCCAGGCAAUGCUGCGUAGCUGGGUUGAGAGAACGACCAGCCCGAUUGGGAUUGAGCCACGGCACAGCCUACUACGGGAGGCAGCAGUGGGGAAUCUUGUACAAUGGGAGAAGGCAUGAUGCAGCGACGCAGCGUGCGGGAUGAAGGCAAUCGGGUUGUAAUCCGCAUUCAGCAGGGACGAGGCGAAAGUGACGGUACCUGCAGAAGAAGCCCCGGCUAACUACGUG